Molecule: long non-coding RNA, 1101 nt
Organism: Pungitius pungitius (ninespine stickleback)
Lineage: Eukaryota; Metazoa; Chordata; Actinopteri; Perciformes; Gasterosteidae
Exons: 3
Source: RefSeq, a predicted model, not a curated record
CUCUCUUCCUCGUUGCGGUGAAAGAAGAAGGUUGUGCUGCCGCAGAGAGAGAGAGAGAGAGAGAGAGAGAGACACACACACUUACACAACCCGAGGCUCGGUCCGGCCUUGUUGGGAUAAAAAGCCACGAUUUGGGAGGUCUCUUGAUGAGGUAAAGGGAAUGCUGUAUAACAGGAAUCUGAAGAAGGAUCACCUCGCUUGCUGUGUAGUUACACUCACCUGUCCAACUGCUCGUUAACACUUAAUUUCUAAGCAGCCAAUCACAUGGCGGCAACUCAGUGCAUUUAGGCAUGUAGACAUUGUCAAGACAAUCUCCUGCAGUUCAAACCGAGCAUCAGUAUGGAGAAGAAAGGUGAUUUGAGUGACUUUGAACGUGGCAUGAUUGUUGGUGCCAGAAGGGCUGGUCUGAAUAUUUCAGAAACUGCUGAUCGACUGGGAUUUUCACGCACAACCAUCUCUAGGGUUUACAGAGAAUUGUCCGAAAAAGAAAAAACAUCCAGUGAGCGGCAGUUCUGUGGGCGGAAACAACAUGAAAGCAUGGAUCCUACAACAUGAAAGCAUGGAUCCAUCCUGCCUUGUAUCAACGGUUCAGGCUGGUGGUGGUGGUGUCAUGGUGUGGGGAAUAUUUUCUUGGCACUCUUUGGGCCCCUUGGUACCAAUUGAGCAUCGUUGCAACGCCACAGCCUACCUGAGUAUUGUUGCUGACCAUGUCCAUCCCUUUAUGACCACAAUGUACCCAACUUCUAAUGGCUACUUUCAGCAGGAUAAUGCGCCAUGUCAUAAAGCUGGAAUCAUCUCAGACUGGUUUCUUGAACAUGACAAUGAGUUCGCUGUACUCAAAUGGCCUCCACAAUCACCAGAUCUCAAUCCAAUAGAGCAUCUUUGGGAUGUGGUGGAACGGGAGAUUCGCAUCAUGGAUGUGCAGCCGACAAAUCUGCGGCAACUGUGUGAUGCCAUCAUGUCAAUAUGGACCAAACUCCCUGAGGAAUGCUUCCAGCACCUUGUUGAAUCUAUGCCACGAAGAAUUGAGGCAGUUCUGAAGGCAAAAGGGGCCGGCGAGUAUAUCAGUCAUGCUUUUUGAAAUACUGUAUAACAUGUUCA